Molecule: long non-coding RNA, 264 nt
Organism: Belonocnema kinseyi
Lineage: Eukaryota; Metazoa; Arthropoda; Insecta; Hymenoptera; Cynipidae
Exons: 3
Source: RefSeq, a predicted model, not a curated record
AGUACCAAAUGGGCCAGGCUAUUUCGCUAGAGAAAACCUCAAAGUGAACUCGGGGUGCAGGGAUUCAGGUGAGUUGAUGUUGUCAGUCGCUAUGUGCUGCGGAGACUUUUAUUCAGCAAGAGAAGGAAAGUUUGUAUAAAAUAUGGAUGGGCGUUAUUUAACGAUAACUCCAAAUAUCUCGGCCGAAAAAAUGGAGCUUCUUUGGCUGUUCUUGCGACGACGGAGAAAGAUCAGAAAAAGACAAUAUCGCGUUCAUCCUCUUUG